Molecule: ribosomal RNA, 459 nt
Filed under: uncultured bacterium
Lineage: Bacteria
Description: partial 16S ribosomal RNA
Rfam family: Bacterial small subunit ribosomal RNA
Source: RNAcentral
CCUACGGGGAGCAGCAGUGAGGAAUAUUGGUCAAUGGUCGGGAGACUGAACCAGCCAAGCCGCGUGAGGGAGGAAGGUACAGAGUAUCGUAAACCUCUUUUGUCAGGGAACAAAGGCGGGGACGUGUCCCCGGAUGAGUGUACCUGAAGAAAAAGCAUCGGCUAACUCCGUGCCAGCAGCCGCGGUAAUACGGAGGAUGCGAGCGUUAUCCGGAUUUAUUGGGUUUAAAGGGUGCGCAGGCGGUCGGGUAAGUCAGCGGUAAAAGCCCGGGGCUCAACCCCGGCCCGCCGUUGAAACUGGCAGUCUCGAGUUGGAGAGAAGUAUGCGGAAUGCGCGGUGUAGCGGUGAAAUGCAUAGAUAUCGCGCAGAACUCCGAUUGCGAAGGCAGCAUGCCGGCUCCACACUGACGCUGAGGCACGAAAGCGUGGGUAUCGAACAGGAUUAGAUACCCUGGUAGUC